GGGGAUUUAGCUCAGUGGUAGAGCGCUUGCCUAGCAAGCGAAAGGCCUUGGGUUCGGUCCCCAGCUCCG
Molecule: non-coding RNA, 69 nt
Organism: Rattus norvegicus (Norway rat)
Lineage: Eukaryota; Metazoa; Chordata; Mammalia; Rodentia; Muridae
Source: Rfam